CUAAUAUGUAGAAUGCAGAAAGAAACUAUGGGUCCAUCGUUUGCAGAGGAGACUGAGUCGAAGAAGAUAAUCCAAAAUCAAACAUGUCCCCCUUCGAAAUGCCAUUCCCAGUCGUGCUCACAAAGAGCGUUCUCAACCGUGAUUUUCUUCUUUCUACCAAUGAUUAUUCAUUCAAUCACCGUUUAAAUCACUUUUUUCCAAUUUCGUUUAAAUAGAUGUAUAUGAUAUAUUAGUAUAUAAAAGGUGGACACAGUAGUGAGAGCUUCUAUUUCCACUACAGCUGGAGCUUUGAUUCCCUUUUCCCUCCAUCGGUGGUUAUGGCAGUGGAGAAAUAAAAGCUUCAGGAAGAAUUCGUAAUCCGCCGCUUCUACAAGAUUAUUCUUAGUUGGGACUACGUUGCUCUCCUCAAGGAAUCUAAGGAGCAGAAGAAAGGGACUGCAAAGUCGACACUCGUGAAGGUGAAGAACGGGUAUACAGAAGUUGAUGACUAUAUUGCAACCUACGAACCGCUCAUCUUUGAAGAAGCCAAAUCCCAGAUCAUUAAGGAGAAAGAGGAAGAAGAUGGUAUCUUUAAUUUCAACUAUUUUUUCGUUUUAGCCAGAGGACUGUUAAAGCCCUGUCUAAGUUGCGGUUUUCCCUUUCUCACUUCAAUUUAAAUAAUAAUUGGUUUGCUUUUCAUGUUUUAAAGUUAGAAGGGUCCACCAAUGUAGUGAGGUAUGGUUGACAAAUAAAUCUUCUUCUUAAGCACAUAAUGAAAGGUCCGAUUCUGAGUCUGUGUUAAUAGAGAAUAUCUAUUAAGAGAGACUUUCCCUUGGUUGUUAUCUUAGUACCUGCUUGCGUUGGAAUAAUAGAUACGUUUCCAGUGCUGGGUGUUGAUAACACUGGUGUUUUUG
RNAcentral lists this small RNA (893 nucleotides) under Vigna angularis var. angularis. RNAcentral's name for it is "Non-protein coding transcript". Lineage: Eukaryota; Viridiplantae; Streptophyta; Magnoliopsida; Fabales; Fabaceae. The record is from RNAcentral.